Pelobates cultripes (western spadefoot toad) is the source of this 4632-nucleotide non-coding RNA. Lineage: Eukaryota; Metazoa; Chordata; Amphibia; Anura; Pelobatidae. The record is from the annotation of a GenBank genome assembly.
AUUUGCCUAUGGUAUAAUGUUCUAAAAUUGAAUUUUGUUAAAUAAGCUAUAUUGUUUAUUAGCAUAUUUGUUAAACUUUGCCUUUGCAAUGAAUUUAAUUUCCUCUUCUUUUCUAGUUUUGAUUACACAGUUUUCAUGCUAUCUUAAAGCAGUGUUUCCCAACCCAGUCCUCACGGCACACCUACCAGUCCAGUAUUUAGGGAUUACCCAGUUGUGUCUAAUGUGUUUUUUUUCUUCUUUGCAAAAACACCUUAGACACAACUGGGUAAUCCCUAAAUCCUGGACUGGUAGGUGUGCCUUGAGGACUGGGUUGGGAAGCACUGUCUUAAAGGACCACUAUAGUGCCAGGAAAACAUACUUGUUUUCCUGGCAAUAUAGGGUCUCUCGGACCCCCCACCCUCCGAGUCCCCCUCCCGCCGGGCUCUAGGGGGUGGAAGGGGUUAAAUCUUACCUGUUUUCCCCCGCCGGGCUCCCUUGGCGCGGGGAACUCUCCUCCUCCUUUUCGCUGUCAUCGACUGAAUGCGCAUUCAGCCAGUCCAUAGGAAAGCAUUCUCAAUGCUUUCUUAUGGACGCUGGCGUCUUCUCACUGUGAAAAUCACAGUGAGAAGCGCGGAAGAACCUCUAGCGGCUGUCAAUGAGACAGCCACUAGAGGCUGGAUUAACCCAUUUGUAAACAUAGCAGUUUCUCUGUUGCUCUGUUGCUAUGUUUACAGCAGAAACUGUUAAACCUAGAAGGACCUGGCACCCAGACCACUUCAUUAAGCUGAAGUGUUCUGGGUGCCUAUAGUGGUCCUUUAACUGACAGCGGUUUGACUUUUGUUUUUAUCUCUUCAUUUUGAAAUUAUUUAUUAGAAAUUGAAAUGAAAGACUGGAAACUUUCACAGAUAUGUUUAAUUAAAGAGACAUGGGCUGAUUUAUUAAUGUUCUGUACAAGUUCCAAUAUGACUUUCUCAGAUGCCCAAAAAUCAAGCAACUUCAUCUGGUCUGUGUUUUAUUCCAAAACAAAAAGAAAGAUUUAUUUGACUCAUGCACUUCUCUGGCCAACACAGUUAUUGAUUAGGUAAAGCAUACUAUUUCAAAAUUGUUUUAUACUUUUUGCUUCCUUGACAACUCAUGUACAACAAACAGAAGAUAAAGAUAAACAUGCCCUCGGUGGGUUACCAUUUAGGCUACCCCUUUAUUAUUUACAUAGGGAUAGUAAACGGAGCCAAGCAAAUUAAGAGUUUCAUGGACCCUGUCUAACCCAUGGGCCCAAGCAGUCAUAUAAGAUUUCCCUUUGGUUAAUCCUCCUUAGGUCUACAAAGAGGGUUAUGAGUCCUGAGAAAUUGAGAAUAGGCAAGAUGAAGGGUUUAACCCCUUAAGGACACAUGACGUGUGACAUGUCAUGAUUCCCUUUUAUUCCAGAAGUUUGGUCCUUAAGGGGUUAAAAGUUCCACAAACUUGUUCAGCAUUUUAUUAAAACUAACCAUUCAAAAAUGAGGUUGUGCCACGAGUUUUUUCUAGUAUUUGUUUAGCCUUUUGUCUUGAUGGGGUGAUGUCAAGUACAUCUGCGUUGUACUCAAAUGUUGUGCUUAAAUGUUACAAAUAAGAGCUGUUUAUCUAUAAUCCCCAUCUGUCUUGAUUACACAUUAUUAUUUCCAGGUCAAAGUGUAUGUUUAUGAAGAAAUUUAUGUUUUGAUACUAUAGAGCUGAAACUCUAGUCUUCCUCAAUAAAAAGAAACUCUCCAAGCACUAUAACCCCUAUAGCUCACUGUUGUGGUUUAUGGGCAGGAGCACUUUGCCCACCCCACUCCGCAUUGUAGGGAUUCAAGCUGUUAUUGAACGGUUUGCUUUCUCACUUUCCCAACCUCCACAAUACAAGUCUUCCAAGAGCUGGAAGUUCCUCACUAGGAACUUUAUUUAGCUCUCCUGAGCUAAGCCAUACAAUGCAGAGAAUGGUCCUCUGUUGCUCUUAGCCAAUGAACUAAGCCCUGCAAUGCAGAGCUUCUGAUGGAAGUUCCUGCUGAUGAAUUUCUGUUGCUCUGGGAAGUAGUGAAGUCAAAAUCAUCCCAAGCAAUUGACUCCUUAAAAUGGGGAGGAGGCACCAUUACUAAUUACCAAUACAGCGAGCUGACUAUAGAGCAGUUUAUAAAGUACCCCUGUUAAAAAUGCUAUCAGAAGUAUCUUUAUUGUAAAUGAAGGCAAUUUAAAAGAUUUUAUUAAAGGGACACUCAAGGCACCCAGACCACUCCUGUCCAUUGGGUGCCAACUCCCACUACCCUUAACCAUGCAAGAGUAAUUAGUGCAGUUUUUCAUAAACUGCACUAAUUGCCUAACAGGUUUAAGUCCUCCUCUAGUGGCUGUCUAUGAGACAGCCACUAGAGGAGCUUCUGGGUUCUUAAAACACUUUUAGUGUUUUAAGAGAUACUGGAUGUCCUCACGCAAUGCAUGAGGACCCCCAGCGUCGCUGUAAUUCCCAUAGGAAAGCAUUGAAUAAUGCUUUCCUAUGGGGCGGUGUAAUGUGCGUGCGCUGUCGUUGCUGUACGUGCGGGCAAUUGCCGCGCAUGCGCAUUAGGUCUUCCCCGCCGACGUCAGUGGAGCCUGACCCAGCACCGAGGGACAUCGGUGGUUGGAUACAAGUAAGUCACUAAAGGGCUUUUAACCCCCUCAGCAACCUGGGGGGGACCUGCAGUGCCAGGAAAACGGUUUGUUUUCCUGGCACUGGAGAGUCCCUUUAACUAAUCAGCAAGUUAAAAUAAAGAUCAACCAUUACUAUGAAACAUGAUGACAAGGACUGUUUUACCACAACCAUGUAGUAUGUAGUAUAAGCAUUCCAUAAUGAAACAAUCCUAGCUAUUGAAAAUAUGCUACUACUAAGGCAGAAUGGAUUCUUUCUAUAAAAAAGGAACAGUUAUUUUCAAACAAAUUUAAUUUGGGGGGAUGGGGAAAUCUACACUUCAUUGCUCUAUUCAAAAAAAAUAAUGUUUUAUAGUCACUGUAUUUAUCCCAGGAAUACAUUACAAUUAUUAAGAUGUUCAUAUUCAGGCUUACAGUAGAUGCUUAAUAUACGAAUUUAUCAUUAGAAUAAACAUUUAAAUCUAUAUUUGGACAAGCAUGGUAGGUUUGAAUUGUUUACACCUGAACAGAAAAAAAUAAAUCAACAUAUACAUUUACUUAAAGGGGAUCUGUUACUUUCGAUGGUCUUUGGCUAUUCCUCACAGUCACCGCCAUAUUUAUGGUGCUCAGCUGCCAGGACUCACCAUAGACAGAGUCCGAAUCCCACAGCCAUUAUUUGUGAUUGGUGUUGGGAUUGGACAAAAGUCGAGCUCUACCUUUUGUCAACCUCAGGCUUCACCAUAAGACAAAGUAGUCAAUAAUUUGUGUCAUGAUAUUUUUGGAUUGCAUUGGAAAUUCAAUGAAAUUCCAACUCAGUCUUGAUUAGUAAGUAUUUCAUAAAGAUUAUAUCUGAAUGAAAUUCAGAAAAGUAAGAAAUCCGCUUAAAGAUUUCAGUAUGUACCUUUGGCGAGCUCUGGCAUAAAAUACUAAUUUCACAUGAGCCCAAAUGUAGAUCUCCAGAUGCUUAAGAACUACAACUUCUAUGAUAAUUUUGCAAUCUAAAAUCUGUUAAAGUAUCAAGGGAGUUGUACUCAUACAACAUCGGGAGUGCACCUGUUGUGCACUUCUGCCCUCUCUAAUACAGCAUUUCCCAUUUUAGGUUUAUUUUGAGUAAUCAAGCAUGGAUCCUCAAAACUAUGUAUUUUUCCUCUACUUGCUACAAAUAAAUCAAUGGUUGUUAAAACAAUAAAAACUAAAAAACUAUUUGGUCUCCCCAGGGACUCGCAACGCACCUGGACUUCACAGUGUUGGAGAAGCCAUAUGCCGAUGUAGGCAUUCAUUGGCUGAUAACAUCAGUUAUGUGCUCUCAGUCAUUAAAUAUGUUAAAAGUGACAUUGGCCUUCUUCAGCACUGAAAAGACCAGAUGCAUCACAGACUCCUAACAGAACCCAGUUAUGUGUCAAACUGAUCUAAAAUAGUUGAUGAAACAAGGGCAUUCAUGGCACCAUAAUGACUACACAAUGACAAAUAGUGGUUAUGAAGCUUGGAGUAUUCCAUUAAUUGUAUCAUGCAUUGUGUGUAUAUAUAUAUAUAUAUAUAUAUAUAUAUAAUCACCAACAUUGCUGCUAUAAAGUCUACAUGUUUAUUUCAAUGUGUUAUAUUCUUUGAGUAGGGUCCAUAGUUAUUUGUUAUUAUUAUUUUGCUUUGUAAAUUGUACAUUAUUUUAUUAGACUAUAAUGUAAGCAAAAUGACAAUCAUUUGACAAGUUGUUUGUAAAAGUGUACAUAUGCAAUAAUUUUUUCUACGUUUUAUAUAUUAUAAAUGCUGUAUACCCAAUGUUUGCAUAAAUCUAUGCUUUUAUUUUGUAUUUUAACAUGUUUUUUACUGUGUUGUUGCAUUAUGUUUUAUAGAUUUUGUUUGCUUUCUGCUUGUGUAUCCAUAGCAUACCUUAUGCACAAGCACCCAUGCAUACAUGCAGUAUUUCCCUACAGUAUUGGAACAUUUUCAGAAAUUGCAAAUGUAAAAAAAAAAAAAUACAACUUAAAUAUAUAAGCAUGAAGUAAUAUUUUGUAUCACAAUAAAAAUAGUGUUUAUCAG